Molecule: ribosomal RNA, 570 nt
Filed under: Ustilago nuda
Lineage: Eukaryota; Fungi; Basidiomycota; Ustilaginomycetes; Ustilaginales; Ustilaginaceae
Description: LSU rRNA
Rfam family: Eukaryotic large subunit ribosomal RNA
Source: RNAcentral
CCCCUAGUAACGGCGAGUGAAGAGGGAAGAGCCCAAGAUUGAAAGCUGGCGUCUUUGGCGUCCGCAUUGUAAUCUCAAGAAGUGUUUUCCGCUUCGGACCAUGCCUAAGUCCCUUGGAAAAGGGCAUCAUAGAGGGUGAUAAUCCCGUACAUGGCAUGGAGCGCCCGAAGCUUUGUGAUACACUUUCUAAGAGUCGAGUUGUUUGGGAAUGCAGCUCAAAAUGGGUGGUAAAUGCCAUCUAAGGCUAAAUAUUGGGGAGAGACCGAUAGCGAACAAGUACAGUGAUGGAAAGAUGAAAAGAACUUUGAAAAGAGAGUUAAACAGUACGUGAAAUUGCCAAAAGGGAAGGGUAGGAGGUCAGAGAUGCGGUCUGGGAUUCAGCCUUGCUUUUGCUGGGUGUUUUUCUCAGAUUGCAGGCCAACGUCGGUUUUGGGCGCUGGAGAAGGGUGGAAGGAAUGUGGCACCUCUCGGGGUGUGUUAUAGCCUUCUACUGGAUACAGUGACCGAGACCGAGGACAGCAGCGUACUCGCAAGAGCGGGCCUUCGGGCACCUUUACGCUUAGGGCGUUG